Molecule: long non-coding RNA, 1971 nt
Organism: Equus asinus (donkey)
Lineage: Eukaryota; Metazoa; Chordata; Mammalia; Perissodactyla; Equidae
Source: Ensembl
GUGGGGACCGGGACGGGCUGGGCUGGGCUGCGUCCGCGGGCCUGACUUCGGGCUCGGCCCGCGGUGCUCCCGGGACGGUCACCGCGAGCAGAGGCCCCGCGGCCUGGGGACCCGGCUGGCGCGGGCGCGGGUGGACCUCCCGGCCGGCAGGGGGCGUGAGGCGGGGAUGCUGGCCCCGAGGGGUCCACGGAUUUUGAGAACAUUAAAUUCGACUUCUUUUAUGCUUUUCAGUGACCCACGCUGGUAAAACUCAAACAGGGCAGAAGCAUUAAAAUAACCACCCUCGUCCCACAGCCUUGCCUCGCGAAGGAAUCCCGGCCUCCGGUUCGGGAGCAUCCUCCCAGGCCUCCUCCAGAACAUUCGCUCACACACGGAUACUCAGGCUCGCAGACGUAUACGGACGCACACGCAUAUGUACGCCGACACACGUGCACCCAGACUCACAGGAACACGCGGACACGUGGGAACACUGAUUACGUAAAGAGAUUAGCCCUGAGCUAACAUCUACCGCCAAUCCUCCUCUUUUUGCUGAGGAAGACUGGCCCUGAGCUAACACCCAUGCCCAUCUUCCUCUACUUUAUACGUGGGACGUCUGCCACAGCAUCGCUUGCCAAGCGGUAUGCAGGUCCACACUUGAGAUCCAAAUCGGCGAACCCCCGGCCACUGAAGCAGAACGUGCAAACUUAACCGCUGUGCCACUGGGCUGGCCCUAUGACCCAUUUGAGAGGAUGUCAUCAGCGCAGUGCCAUCCCCGUGCUCCUGGAGGACGGCGGCUGCAGUGAAGAUCCCAUCUGCAGAGAUGGCGUGUGAGGGCGUAGCUGUCGUGGUGCCCCACGGGCAGCCUGGCUGAGCUGUGUGUGUCCCUUCGGAGGUAAAGGCAAGCUUCAGCUGAGAACCUGUUGAAACAGGCACUAAAUGGAAUGUAUUCGCCAAAUCUAUAAGAGCAAAAUGUGUACUGGGGUGGAGGCUGGGUGGAGGUAGUGAUCGCAACAGCAUUGGAUGCUGGGCGUGGGGGUCUGAGUGGAUCGGACGACAGCAUUACUGUUGCAGUGGGUCCACCAGGAGGCGCCGUAGGGAUAACCACCGCUUUAUUAGUCGGGUUUCAUGUAAGUGUUACUCCCCGGAGGCCCUGUUUCACUUACAUUGGGCCAUAUUCUUUUUUUUUUUUUUUUUGAGGAGGAUUAGCCCUGGGCUGACUACUGCCAGUCCUCCUCUUUUUGCUGAGGAAGACUGGCCCUGAGCUAACAUCCAUGCCCAUCUUCCUCUACUUUAUAUGUGGGACGCCUACCACAGCAUGGUGUGCCAAGCGGUGCCAUGUCUGCACCUGGGAUCCCAACCAGUGAACCCCGGGCCACUGAGAAGCGGAACGUGCGAACUUAACCGCUGCACCACAGGGCCGGCCCCUUAUAUUAACUAUUUUAACUGGGGGUCCAGUUAAUCAAGCCAGUUUGUCAAUGCCAAAAACUUACUUUAAUUUUAAUUUAUUAUUCUUUGUGUUAGCGCAUCUUUGCCUGAUGUGGGAUAUUUUUGGACAAAGAGUACUAUGACUAUGGGAAAUUAGGCAAGGCUGUGGUUCGAGUGAGGUCUGUCUGUUUUCCCUCUGUUUUAUAUUUAGUGACUUCCCAAGGUGAUAGGGACUACGAUGUUUACGUCUAGUGGGAUCCCCAGCUGUGACUCUCCUUUGAGCCCCAGUGUUGAUUAAGGCCGUGAAGUUUGUCAAUGGGUGCAUCUUAGCAAAUAAUUUAGCACCUACGUGCACCCAAGCCAACUGGCACAUUUAAAAAUCUUUUUGUUAUAUAAAUUAUUUUUGUAUAUAGAUAAAUUCUGUUGUAUAUUUGUUAUGUAUGAUUAUUAUACAUAUAAUUUGUUAUGUUGAUUUUUAGCAUAUAAACUUUGGAUUUCCAAUUGGGUCAAAUUAUGGACCUUUGUUUUAAUAUAUGUAAAAUUUAUUUAUUGUAUAUUUUGUAGCUG